RNAcentral lists this microRNA precursor (203 nucleotides) under Oryza sativa Indica Group (long-grained rice). RNAcentral describes it as "MIR812 microRNA precursor family". It matches the Rfam family "MIR812 microRNA precursor family". The record is from Rfam by way of RNAcentral. Lineage: Eukaryota; Viridiplantae; Streptophyta; Magnoliopsida; Poales; Poaceae.
AAAAAGACAAACCCUGGGUUUCCAUGUCCAACUUUGAUUGUCCGUCUUAUAUGAAAUUUUUUUAUAAUUCGUAUUUUCAUUAUUGUUAGAUGAUAAAACAUGAUUAAUAUUUUAUGCGUGACUUGUCUUUUUAUUUUUUUAUAAUUUUUUUAAAUAAGACGGACGGUCAAACGUUGGACACGGAAACCAGGGUUUGUCUUUUU